RNAcentral lists this long non-coding RNA (723 nucleotides) under Sinocyclocheilus anshuiensis. Its description in RNAcentral is "lncRNA (ENSSANG00000018464.1)". The record is from RNAcentral. Lineage: Eukaryota; Metazoa; Chordata; Actinopteri; Cypriniformes; Cyprinidae.
CUGUAAUAUUUGAUCAAUUUGAUGCAUUCUUGCUACAGUAAAUAAAAGUAUUACAAAAAAAAACUUUCUGACGCCAACAUUUUGAACAGUAGUUUAAUAGGUAAGCAGCUACUACAUAACAUUAAAACUGACAAAAAGAUUUGUAAUUGAAAUUUAAUGUUUUGACUGUUCUCUUAAUCUGAGUGUAGUUGAGCCAAACGUGGGUACUUUUUUUUUUUCACACUUCCACACCAUCGCUCGUAACCUUGCCUCUGAUUCACUGAAUGGAGCCGAUGACCCCUCCAUUUCUUUGGUGAAGCUCUCCUACGGUUGUGAGGGGACGUUUAUGAAGGUUUGCGCUGAAAGUAGAGACUCUACUAGCGCACGCCCGAUGUUCUGCGUUCCCCUCACCGUGCCCCUCGGAGAUGCACCACCUACAGAUGCUGGUGUGGGAUCUACGGCAACAACAGUGGCCAUAUAAUUAUGAUUGCAUCCCAUCUCUUGUGCGAUAACCAUUUGGUUCAGUAAAGAAAUACAUCGCGGAGCAAAGAGGACACUGACAACACGACGACAGACAAGAAGGUUACUUUUGGAAUAAAACGAAGUCUUUACAUUUUUUUUUUUUUUUUUAGAAAUUCAAACAAUAAAUACCAUUUUGUUGCUUUUUAAUGUGUCGUGACAGAUUGCUGUAGCGCCUCAGUUCAAGCGGCACGUGAGCCGAUCAUCUCUUCUUCUUUACUAGUU